CGGAUUGGAGUCUGNAACCCGACUCCAUGAAGCUGGAUUCGCUAGUAAUCGCGCAUCAGCCACGGCGCGGUGAAUACGUUCCCGGGCCUUGUACACACCGCCCGUCAAGCCAUGGAAGCCGGGGGUGCCUGAAGUGCGCUGCCGCGAGGAGCGCCCUAGGGUAAAACCGGUGACUGGGGCUAAGUCGUAACAAGGUAAC
RNAcentral lists this ribosomal RNA (199 nucleotides) under uncultured bacterium. Its description in RNAcentral is "partial 16S ribosomal RNA". It matches the Rfam family "Bacterial small subunit ribosomal RNA", at positions 1294 to 1500 of the family's 1533-position model. The record is from RNAcentral.